This 468-nucleotide ribosomal RNA is filed under the name uncultured bacterium. RNAcentral describes it as "partial 16S ribosomal RNA". It matches the Rfam family "Bacterial small subunit ribosomal RNA", at positions 28 to 507 of the family's 1533-position model. The record is from RNAcentral.
GACGAACGCUGGCGGCGUGCUUAACACAUGCAAGUCGAACGGAAAGGCCCUGCUUUUGUGGGGUGCUCGAGUGGCGAACGGGUGAGUAACACGUGAGUAACCUGCCCUUGACUUUGGGAUAACUUCAGGAAACUGGGGCUAAUACCGGAUAGGAGCUCCUGCUGCAUGGUGGGGGUUGGAAAGUUUCGGCGGUUGGGGAUGGACUCGCGGCUUAUCAGCUUGUUGGUGGGGUAGUGGCUUACCAAGGCUUUGACGGGUAGCCGACCUGAGAGGGUGAACGGCCACAUUGGGACUGAGAUACGGCCCAGACGCCUACGGGAGGCAGCAGUGGGGAGUAUUGCACAAUGGGCGGAAGCCUGAUGCAGCAACGCCGCGUGCGGGAUGACGGCCUUCGGGGGGUAAACCGCUUUCGCCUGUGACGAAGCGUGAGUGACGGUAAUUGGUAAAGAAGCACCGGCUAACUACGUG